GCGCCGAUGGUUUAGUGGUAAAAUUCUCCGUUGCCAUCAAGUAGCGUCGGGGAGCCGGGGGUUCGAUUCCCCCUCGGCGCA
Colletotrichum incanum is the source of this 81-nucleotide transfer RNA. It matches the Rfam family "tRNA". From Rfam's summary of the family: Transfer RNA (tRNA) molecules are approximately 80 nucleotides in length. Their secondary structure includes four short double-helical elements and three loops (D, anti-codon, and T loops). The record is from Rfam. Lineage: Eukaryota; Fungi; Ascomycota; Sordariomycetes; Glomerellales; Glomerellaceae.